UACGUAGGGUCCAAGCGUUAUCCGGAUUUACUGGGUGUAAAGGGUGCGUAGACGGGAAUGCAAGUUGGUUGUGGAAUCCCUCGGCUUAACUGAGGAACUGCAACCAAAACUACAUUUCUUGAGUGCUGGAGAGGAAAGUGGAAUUCCUAGUGUAGCGGUGAAAUGCGUAGAUAUUAGGAGGAACACCAGUGGCGAAGGCGACUUUCUGGACAGUAACUGACGUUGAGGCACGAAAGUGUGGGGAGCAAACA
RNAcentral lists this ribosomal RNA (251 nucleotides) under uncultured bacterium. Its description in RNAcentral is "partial 16S ribosomal RNA". It matches the Rfam family "Bacterial small subunit ribosomal RNA", at positions 524 to 774 of the family's 1533-position model. The record is from RNAcentral.